This 518-nucleotide ribosomal RNA is filed under the name uncultured bacterium. RNAcentral's name for it is "bacterial SSU rRNA". It matches the Rfam family "Bacterial small subunit ribosomal RNA", at positions 30 to 518 of the family's 1533-position model. The record is from RNAcentral.
CGAACGCUGGCGGCGUGCUUAACACAUGCAAGUCGAACGAGACGAUUUUAAGCUUGCUUAGAUGAGUCGAGUGGCAAACGGGUGAGUAACGCGUAGACAACCUGCCGCAAAGAUGGGGACAACAGUCCGAAAGGACUGCUAAUACCGAAUGUUGUCAGAUUCCCGCAUGGGAGACUGAUUAAAGAUGGCCUCUACUUGUAAGCUAUCGCUUUGUGAUGGGUCUGCGUCUGAUUAGCUAGUUGGUGGGGUAACGGCCUACCAAGGCGACGAUCAGUAGCCGGUCUGAGAGGAUGAACGGCCACAUUGGAACUGAGACACGGUCCAGACUCCUACGGGAGGCAGCAGUGGGGAAUCUUCCGCAAUGGGCGAAAGCCUGACGGAGCAACGCCGCGUGAGUGAAAGAAGGGUUUCGGCUCGUAAAGCUCUGUUGACGGGGACGAAUGUGCGAAAUGCGAAUAGUUUUUCGCAAUGACGGUACCCGUCGAGGAAGCCACGGCUAACUACGUGCCAGCAGCGGC